UACGGAGGGUGCAAGCGUUAAUCGGAAUUACUGGGCGUAAAGGGUUCGUAGGUGGCCAACUAAGUCAGACGUGAAAUCCCUCAGCUCAACUGGGGAACUGCGUCUGAUACUGGUCGGCUUGAGUGCAGGAGAGGAACGCGGAGUUCCAGGUGUAGCGGUGAAAUGCGUAGAUAUCUGGAGGAACACCGGUGGCGAAGGCGGCGUUCUGGACUGCAACUGACACUGAGGAACGAAAGCCAGGGGAGCAAACGGG
This 253-nucleotide ribosomal RNA is filed under the name uncultured bacterium. Its description in RNAcentral is "partial 16S ribosomal RNA". It matches the Rfam family "Bacterial small subunit ribosomal RNA", at positions 524 to 776 of the family's 1533-position model. The record is from RNAcentral.